AUGUCUCUCCCUUUUUACAUUCUCUCUUUCUCCCCUCUACAGGAGAAUAAAUUUCUAUUCCAAUGUUCUUUCUCUCUCGAGAAUUCUCGAGAAUUGUCAUUCUCGGUCACCGAGAGACUACCACUAAUACUGGCUAAGAAAUGGGCAGCAGAUAUGUACCCUGGGAGACCUUUCCUCCACUUCAGUGAGAAGUUCUGUCUACUUCAUGGCCAGCAGAGAAGCAUGGUAGCUAAUCAAGACUCUGAGAAAUGUUGCCAAAAGCAGGAAAACGUGUACAGAAGUGAUUGAAAUGGGACUUCCAUUUGUCCCUUGCUGCUAGUUUUCUAAAGGGGAACGUUCCCUUUAAGAAUCAGUCUUAGGAUGUAAAAUCUAGUGGAAUUGUGCCUUGGAUAUGGGAGGGAGUUGGGGGGAGGGGAGAGAAAGAACAUGAUUUUUGUAAUCCUGGAAAAAUGCUCA
RNAcentral lists this long non-coding RNA (456 nucleotides) under Monodelphis domestica (gray short-tailed opossum). RNAcentral describes it as "lncRNA (ENSMODG00000047124.1)". Lineage: Eukaryota; Metazoa; Chordata; Mammalia; Didelphimorphia; Didelphidae. The record is from RNAcentral.